CUCAGUCAGAUACACUGUCAAGUAUUCAGUCAGCAGCUCAAACUCUGAGAAGAAAUCAAGCCAAACUACAGCAGCAGCUCCUACACAAGGUCCAGCUGACACAGCAUCAGAAACUGAAGUCAGUGUGACUGCUGGAUCAUUAUUCAGAGGUACGACACGUUCAUUUCUACUGACAGCUUUACACCAUUAAACUAUCAGUCAGUCUGUAAAUGCUUCAUCAAUAACUGUUCAUAGACUUCAGUCAUGUCCAGUUUCUC
Long non-coding RNA from Megalobrama amblycephala (Wuchang bream), 257 nucleotides. RefSeq lists it as uncharacterized. The transcript is spliced from 3 exons. NCBI's taxonomy places the organism in Eukaryota, Metazoa, Chordata, Actinopteri, Cypriniformes, Xenocyprididae. The record is from RefSeq and is a predicted model, not a curated record.